UUGGAGAGUUUGAUCCUGGCUCAGGACGAACGCUGGCGGCGUGCUUAACACAUGCAAGUCGAACGAAGAGCGAUGGAAGCUUGCUUCUAUCAAUCUUAGUGGCGAACGGGUGAGUAACGCGUAAUCAACCUGCCCUUCAGAGGGGGACAACAGUUGGAAACGACUGCUAAUACCGCAUACGAUCCAAUCUCGGCAUCGAGGAUGGAUGAAAGGUGGCCUCUAUUUAUAAGCUAUCACUGAAGGAGGGGAUUGCGUCUGAUUAGCUAGUUGGAGGGGUAACGGCCCACCAAGGCGAUGAUCAGUAGCCGGUCUGAGAG
This 317-nucleotide ribosomal RNA is filed under the name Veillonella dispar. RNAcentral describes it as "bacterial SSU rRNA". It matches the Rfam family "Bacterial small subunit ribosomal RNA", at positions 1 to 298 of the family's 1533-position model. Lineage: Bacteria; Bacillati; Bacillota; Negativicutes; Veillonellales; Veillonellaceae. The record is from RNAcentral.